RNAcentral lists this ribosomal RNA (253 nucleotides) under uncultured bacterium. RNAcentral's name for it is "partial 16S ribosomal RNA". It matches the Rfam family "Bacterial small subunit ribosomal RNA", at positions 524 to 776 of the family's 1533-position model. The record is from RNAcentral.
UACGAAGGGGGCUAGCGUUGCUCGGAAUUACUGGGCGUAAAGCGCACGUAGGCGGUCUUUUAAGUCGGUGGUGAAAUCCUGGAGCUCAACUCCAGAACUGCCUUCGAUACUGGCGAUCUUGAGUCCGGAAGAGGUGAGUGGAACUCCUAGUGUAGAGGUGGAAUUCGUAGAUAUUAGGAAGAACACCAGUGGCGAAGGCGGCUCACUGGUCCGGUACUGACGCUGAGGUGCGAAAGCGUGGGGAGCAAACAGG